GGGUGCGAUCAUACCAGCACUAAUGCACCGGAUCCCAUCAGAACUCCGAAGUUAAACGUGCUUGGGCGAGAGUAGUACUAAGAUAGGUGACCUGUUGGGAAGUCCUCGUGUUGCACCCC
Molecule: non-coding RNA, 119 nt
Organism: Ricinus communis (castor bean)
Lineage: Eukaryota; Viridiplantae; Streptophyta; Magnoliopsida; Malpighiales; Euphorbiaceae
Source: Rfam